Molecule: small RNA, 242 nt
Filed under: Arabidopsis thaliana (thale cress)
Lineage: Eukaryota; Viridiplantae; Streptophyta; Magnoliopsida; Brassicales; Brassicaceae
Description: ATSL224400
Source: RNAcentral
UUCAAAAUAUAAUGGAAUCAAAAGCAAAUCGACGUCGUAAUAUAUUUGCAUGCUAUGAGCAGUUGAUAUUAUGGAUAAAAAGGAGGAUCAUGAAAGAAAGUCUAUUGAAAAGUGUACACAAAGUAAUGAUUAGCCAAAAAUGGAAAAGAAGAAAUAGACAUAUAAUUAUAAUCUCUAGUAGAGAUAUUUGGACUAGUAGUCUAUGCACAUGAUGUGUAAAACCAGUGGAAAAUAAAAUGAGU